Molecule: ribosomal RNA, 499 nt
Filed under: uncultured bacterium
Lineage: Bacteria
Description: partial 16S ribosomal RNA
Rfam family: Bacterial small subunit ribosomal RNA
Source: RNAcentral
GAUGAACGCUGGCGGCGUGCUUAACACAUGCAAGUCGAACGAAGCACUUUAUUCGAUUUUCUUCGGAGAUGAAGAUUUAGUGACUGAGUGGCGGACGGGUGAGUAACGCGUGGAUAACCUGCCUCACACUGGGGGAUAACAGUUAGAGAUGACUGCUAAUACCGCAUAAGCGCACAGUACCGCAUGGUACGGUGUGAAAAACUCCGGUGGUGUGAGAUGGAUCCGCGUUUGAUUGGCCAGUUGGCGGGGUAACGGCCCACCAAAGCGACGAUCAAGAGCCGACAUGAGAGGGUGACCGGCCACAAUGGGACUGAGAAACGGCCCAAACUCCUAGGGGGGGGAGCAGUGGGGAAUAUUGCGCAAUGGGGGAAACCCUGACGCAGCGACGCCGCGUGAGCGAUGAAGUAUUUCGGUAUGUAAAGCUCUAUCAGCAGGGAAGAAUAAAUGACGGUACCUGACUAAGAAGCCCCGGCUAACUACGUGCCAGCAGCCGCCGUAA